RNAcentral lists this non-coding RNA (300 nucleotides) under Rhinopithecus bieti (black snub-nosed monkey). The record is from RNAcentral. Lineage: Eukaryota; Metazoa; Chordata; Mammalia; Primates; Cercopithecidae.
UGAGGCAGGAGAAUUGCUUGAACCUGGGAGGCAGAGGUUGCAGUGAGCCGAGAUCGUGCCAUUGCACUCCAGCCUGGGCAACGAGAGUGAAACUCCAUCUCAAAAAAAUAUAUAUAUAUAUAUAUUUGGUGGCUGUUUUUUUUGUUUUUUGUUUUUUUUUUGAGACAAAGUCUCACUCUGUCACCCAGGCUGAAGGUGCAGUCUUGGCUCACUGCAACCUGCGCCUCCCAGAUUCAAGCAAUUCUCCUGCCUCAGCCUCCCAAGUAACUGGGAUUACAGGCACGCACCACCGCGCCUGGC